This 785-nucleotide ribosomal RNA is filed under the name Ganoderma lucidum. Its description in RNAcentral is "eukaryotic LSU rRNA". The stretch from base 240 to 393 matches the Rfam family "5.8S ribosomal RNA". Lineage: Eukaryota; Fungi; Basidiomycota; Agaricomycetes; Polyporales; Polyporaceae. The record is from RNAcentral.
CGACGUAGGCUUUCGUAGGUGACCUGCGGAGGAUCAUUAUCGAGUUUUGACCGGGUUGUAGCUGGCCUUCUGAGGCAUGUGCACGCCCUGCUCAUCCACUCUACACCUGUGCACUUACUGUGGGCUUCAGAUUGCGAGGCACGCUCUUUACCGGGCUUGCGGAGCAUAUCUGUGCCUGCGUUUAUCACAAACUCUAUAAAGUAACAGAAUGUGUAUUGCGAUGUAACACAUCUAUAUACAACUUUCAGCAACGGAUCUCUUGGCUCUCGCAUCGAUGAAGAACGCAGCGAAAUGCGAUAAGUAAUGUGAAUUGCAGAAUUCAGUGAAUCAUCGAAUCUUUGAACGCACCUUGCGCUCCUUGGUAUUCCGAGGAGCAUGCCUGUUUGAGUGUCAUGAAAUCUUCAACCUACAAGCUUUUGUGGUUUGUAGGCUUGGACUUGGAGGCUUGUCGGCCGUUAUCGGUCGGCUCCUCUUAAAUGCAUUAGCUUGGUUCCUUGCGGAUCGGCUCUCGGUGUGAUAAUGUCUACGCCGUGACCGUGAAGCGUUUGGCGAGCUUCUAACCGUCUUAUAAGACAGCUUUAUGACCUCUGACCUCAAAUCAGGUAGGACUACCCGCUGAACUUAAGCAUAUCAAUAAGCGGAGGAAAAGAAACUAACAAGGAUUCCCCUAGUAACUGCGAGUGAAGCGGGAAAAGCUCAAAUUUAAAAUCUGGCGGUCUUUGGCCGUCCGAGUUGUAGUCUGGAGAAGUGCUUUCCGCGCUGGACCGUGUACAGGGUCUCCCUGA